CUGCAUUCUAAACCCUCCUGGCAGCCCUGCCAUUGGCUUCCAGGAUAAGAAUGAAUGCUAGAGAAAACUGUUGAUUAAUCCAAAAUGUAGAGCUCUUCCCCAUGGCUCCUCAUUAUUUCACAUCUUCAACAUUU
Molecule: small nucleolar RNA, 134 nt
Organism: Agelaius phoeniceus (red-winged blackbird)
Lineage: Eukaryota; Metazoa; Chordata; Aves; Passeriformes; Icteridae
Product: small nucleolar RNA SNORA14
Source: RefSeq, a predicted model, not a curated record